Molecule: transfer RNA, 62 nt
Filed under: Actinomycetota bacterium
Lineage: Bacteria; Bacillati; Actinomycetota
Description: tRNA-OTHER
Rfam family: tRNA
About the family: Transfer RNA (tRNA) molecules are approximately 80 nucleotides in length. Their secondary structure includes four short double-helical elements and three loops (D, anti-codon, and T loops). Further hydrogen bonds mediate the characteristic L-shaped molecular structure. tRNAs have two regions of fundamental functional importance: the anti-codon, which is responsible for specific mRNA codon recognition, and the 3' end, to which the tRNAs corresponding amino acid is attached (by aminoacyl-tRNA synthetases). tRNAs cope with the degeneracy of the genetic code in two manners: having more than one tRNA (with a specific anti-codon) for a particular amino acid; and 'wobble' base-pairing, i.e. permitting non-standard base-pairing at the 3rd anti-codon position.
Source: RNAcentral
GCCGACGAUUCAGUGCUUCACUCGUAAUGAAGGGGUCCGCGGUUCGAGUCCGCGCGUCGGCU